This 425-nucleotide ribosomal RNA is filed under the name uncultured bacterium. Its description in RNAcentral is "bacterial SSU rRNA". It matches the Rfam family "Bacterial small subunit ribosomal RNA", at positions 355 to 776 of the family's 1533-position model. The record is from RNAcentral.
UAAGGAAUAUUGGUCAAUGGACGCAAGUCUGAACCAGCCAUGCCGCGUGAAGGAAGACGGCCCUACGGGUUGUAAACUUCUUUUGUACAGGAAAAAACCACCGGUCGUGAACCGGUGCUGAUGGUACUGUAAGAAUAAGGAUCGGCUAACUCCGUGCCAGCAGCCGCGGUAAUACGGAGGAUCCAAGCGUUAUCCGGAUUCAUUGGGUUUAAAGGGUGCGUAGGCGGGUAGGUAAGUCAGUGGUGAAAUCCUGGAGCUCAACUCCAGAACUGCCAUUGAUACUAUUUAUCUUGAAUAUUGUGGAGGUAAGCGGAAUAUGUCAUGUAGCAGUGAAAUGCGUAGAUAUGCGGAGGAACACCGAUGGCGAAGGCAAUCCCCUGGACCUGUACUGACGCUCAUGCACGAAAGCGUGGGGAGCAAACAGG